Molecule: long non-coding RNA, 426 nt
Organism: Vigna unguiculata (cowpea)
Lineage: Eukaryota; Viridiplantae; Streptophyta; Magnoliopsida; Fabales; Fabaceae
Source: RefSeq, a predicted model, not a curated record
GACAAGACGCACAGGUUGCGUUUUAGACAAAGAAAAUAAUAGAAGGGUUGGAGCGGAGAAGGAGAAGGGAACGCCAGGAGCUUCAAGCUUCAAACACGGAAAAGUCCACCACUGUGGUUCGUGUCUCGUUCUGUGUUUCGCGUUCUCACCGGUUCAGUAGCAGCAAUCCAGGAGCUUCAAGCUUCAAACACGGAAAAGUCCACCACUGUGGUUCGUGUCUCGUUCUGUGUUUCGCGUUCUCAUCGGUUCAGUAGCAGCAAUUUCCUUCACACUAUUUAAUCGGAGAAGGUUGUUUGAGUGAAGUUUCAUUAAGUUGCCUAGUGAAAACUUGGGAGAAAAUAGAAGUAACAUUCAAGAGUUGUGAACCUGCAACAAAGUUUAUUUGGAGAAGGUUGUUUGUGAGGUUUCACUAAGUUGCAAUAGAGG